AGAGUUUGAUCCUGGCUCAGGACGAACGCUGGCGGCGCGCUUAACACAUGCAAGUCGAGCGAGAACUAGGCCUUCGGGCCUGGGGAAAGCGGCGAACGGGUGAGUAACACGUGGGUAAUCUGCCCUCGACAUCGGGAUAGCCCGGGGAAACCCGGAUUAAUACCGAAUAGCCUCCGGAGCUCUCGGGCAUCGGAGAAAAGGUGGCUUCGGCUUCCGGUUGGGGAUGAGCCCGCGGCGGAUUAGCUUGUUGGCGGGGUAACGGCCCACCAAGGCGACGAUCCGUAGCUGGUCUGAGAGGACGAUCAGCCACACUGGGACUGAGACACGGCCCAGACUCCUACGGGAGGCAGCAGUGGGGAAUCUUGCGCAAUGGGCGAAAGCCUGACGCAGCGACGCCGCGUGCGGGAAGAAGGCCUUCGGGCUGUAAACCGCUUUCAGGAGGGACGAAGCCACUCGGGUUAAUACCCCAGAGGGUGACGGUACCUCCAGAAGAAGCCCCGGCUAACUACGUGCCAGCAGCCGCGGAAUUC
RNAcentral lists this ribosomal RNA (530 nucleotides) under uncultured bacterium. RNAcentral describes it as "bacterial SSU rRNA". It matches the Rfam family "Bacterial small subunit ribosomal RNA", at positions 8 to 525 of the family's 1533-position model. The record is from RNAcentral.